UACAGAGGAGCCAAGCGUUGUCCGGAUUUACUGGGCGUAAAGCGCACGCAGGCGGUUGCGCGCGUGGGGUGUGAAAUCUGGCCGCUUAACGGCCAGGCGCCAUCCCAUACGGCGCGACUGGAGUGAUGCAGAGGUCGAUGGAAUUGCCGGUGUAGUGGUGAAAUGCGUAGAUAUCGAGAGGAACACCUGCGGCGAAGGCGGGUUGCUGGGCUGAUACUGACGCUGAGGCGCGAAAGCCAGGGGAGCGAACGGG
This 253-nucleotide ribosomal RNA is filed under the name uncultured bacterium. RNAcentral describes it as "partial 16S ribosomal RNA". It matches the Rfam family "Bacterial small subunit ribosomal RNA", at positions 524 to 776 of the family's 1533-position model. The record is from RNAcentral.